Molecule: ribosomal RNA, 253 nt
Filed under: uncultured bacterium
Lineage: Bacteria
Description: partial 16S ribosomal RNA
Rfam family: Bacterial small subunit ribosomal RNA
Source: RNAcentral
UACAGAGGGUGCAAGCGUUAAUCGGAAUUACUGGGCGUAAAGCGCGCGUAGGUGGUUUGUUAAGUUGGAUGUGAAAGCCCCGGGCUCAACCUGGGAACUGCAUCCAAAACUGGCAAGCUAGAGUACGGUAGAGGGUGGUGGAAUUUCCUGUGUAGCGGUGAAAUGCGUAGAUAUAGGAAGGAACACCAGUGGCGAAGGCGACCACCUGGACUGAUACUGACACUGAGGUGCGAAAGCCAGGGGAGCAAACGGG